AUUGAACGCUGGCGGCAGGCCUAACACAUGCAAGUCGAACGAGUGGCGGACGGGUGAGUAAUGUCUGGGAAACUGCCUGAUGGAGGGGGAUAACUACUGGAAACGGUAGCUAAUACCGCAUACCAUCAGAUGUGCCCAGAUGGGAUUAGCUAGUUGGUGGGGUAACGGCUCACCAAGGCGACGAUCCCUAGCUGGUCUGAGAGGCGGACCAGCCAGACUGGAAAUGAGGCACGGUCCAGACUCCUACGGGAGGCAGCGGUGGGGAAUAUUGCACAUUGGGCGCAAGCCGGAAGCAGCCAUGCCGCGUGUAUGAAGAAGGCCUUCGGGUUGUAAAGUACUUUCAGCGGGGAGGCGUUACCCGCAGAAGAAGCACCGGCUAACUCCGUGCCAGCAGCCGCGGUAAUUC
This 406-nucleotide ribosomal RNA is filed under the name uncultured bacterium. RNAcentral describes it as "partial 16S ribosomal RNA". It matches the Rfam family "Bacterial small subunit ribosomal RNA", at positions 30 to 526 of the family's 1533-position model. The record is from RNAcentral.